AUUGAACGCUGUCGGCCGGCCUAACACAUGCAAGUCGCGCGGAGCGGCGGCCGGGUGCGUAAUGCCUAGGAAUCUGCCUGGUAGUGGUGGAUAACGUCCGGCAACGGGCGCUCAUACCGCAUACUAUCAGAUGAGCCUAUGUCGGAUUAGCUAGUUGGUGGGUUAAAGGCCUACAAAGGCGACGAACCGUAACUGGUCUGAGCGGAUGGUCAGUCACACUGGAACGGAGACACGGUCCAGACUCCUACGGGAGGCAGAAGUGGGGAAUAUGGGACAAUGGGCGAAAGACGGAUCCAGCCAUGCCGCGUGUGUGAAGAAGGUCUUCGGAUUGUAAAGCACUUUAAGUUGGGAGGCGUGACCAACAGAAUAAGCACCGGCUAACUUCGUGCCAGCAGCCGCGGUAAUAC
This 407-nucleotide ribosomal RNA is filed under the name uncultured bacterium. Its description in RNAcentral is "partial 16S ribosomal RNA". It matches the Rfam family "Bacterial small subunit ribosomal RNA", at positions 30 to 526 of the family's 1533-position model. The record is from RNAcentral.